CAAGAGAGAAAGAGAGCGAGAAAGAUGUAUGGAGGGAAGGGAGGCUAUAAGGACAAUGACUGCGAUGAGACGAAGAGGGAGAAAUGAAUAAGAAGGAGUGGUUGUGACUGUAAGAGCGGGAAGUCGAUAUAGAAAUCUAUUUGGUUAUUAUUUUUUUCUGUCGGUAUUUGCAAUAUGCUUAGUCGGUGCGUUACCGUUUUUAUGUUGCUGUUAUUAUUUUAGUGGAUGCAUCGUUCGGCACGUAUUUUGCUAAUCUCAACGCAGGAUUUGGAUAUUCAUUUAUAUUAUAAUCGACGAUUUUGAUAUUUUAAAGUUAGCCUGACAUGUUCUAUAGUUGGAUGUACCCCAUCUGUAACCAGUAUUGUCCAAUAUGAAAAAUAACAGCAGUAAUCUUCAUGACAGUGUUGUCAUUGAAGCUACAUCCUAUAACAAACUUCUCUCUCAAUUUGAAGAAAUUGUAGCAUCUUCGGAUUUUUCACCAGUGCAAGAUUUAACAAGCGCAAAGACCUCAAGUAUUUCAUUAAUACCUACAAGUUUCCAAAAUAUUACAACAUACAAAACUGAUGGCGUUUCCCAUCAAGCUCCAACUAUUACUGUAUCUGCGACUAGAAACGAAAAUUCUCUUCCAAGAAAAUUAUCACUAGUGUCUAAUGGUAUUGUAAAAAAAUUAGUUAAAAAUAGACAUGGCAUUUCUGUGUCUUCAUUACUCAGAGAUCCUAGAGUCAGUAAAAUGAAGCUUGUAACUGAUGUGCAGUGCAAUGGUACCAAUGCUGUUAAUGGCAUAUCGAAUCAAAACCAAGUUAAUGUGGCAUCAGUUACUGAUGUUGAGAAUUCAGAUCCACUCCAGUCAAAUGUGUUAAAGCCUGUCAGUUCUAAAUUGGCUGGAAACCAAACAAUUAAACCAAAUAGUGAAACUAACCAAACUGGAAUCUCUGCAGUAAAUGAUACAAAAGACUCUAUACCACCAAUUGUUCUACCAGAAUUAUCUAUUACAAGGCCAGUUAAAAAAAGUGCUUCAACAGAUGAAUUUCCAGAUUUACUGAAACCUCAAAAUUUAACGAGAUAUGUCGAAUUAAGUUCAUUAAAAAGUCAAGAUAAUAAUAAUAAUAACUCUUCUAAGAAGCAAACUAUCCAGUAUAGGCCCUAUUAUAGUCAUUUAAGGGAUCAUGACUACACACUUAAUUGUCCUAGAUUUAUUCCUAAAGAAAAGAGUACUACUACUACUACUACUACAUCAACAAAAAGGUCAUUUAUAAUUCCAAAGAAAAAGAAAAAACUUAGUGAUGACCAAUGCUUAAAUAAUUCUGUGAGCAAUAAUUCAAACAAAGACUCAGAUAACCCUAAUACGCAGGAAUAUUUUUCUAAUGAUCCACAAACUAAUAGCUUAAAUCUUGAAAAUGAAAAUUCUAGUUCUCCAAAUAUACAGACAGCUAAUUCAACAUCUUCACCCCUACCUGUUAGUUCUGAUGAUACAAAGGACGUGCUUCAUGAAGAAAAACGAGAAACAGCUGAAGUCUUUGAAUCUGUUGAAAAACAGAAUAUAUCGUCUUGUGGAUUAAGUGCCCUACAUGAUUAUGUUAGCAGUGAAAAUCCAUUUGAUUGUCGAAAUGUCGACAAUCAUGAUUUUCGUACUUGUGAUAUGUGUAAGGAUUUCUUCCCGAAACCUAAAUCUGGUGAGAAAUGCAAUGAUGAUGUUUUCCCUGAUGUUGUGCCCUGUCAGAUGUGUUGUCACUUAAGUGAAGACAAUUUGACUGCAAACUAUGUAAAACAUUGCAAUGUGAAUAGUCCUCUCGGUCACUUGAAUCCCUGUGGUUUGUUGUCUUGUCCUACAGAUGAAGCAAUCAAUGCUUGUAUUUUUGAUUAUCCUAAUGAUAAAGAAUUGCGGAAGAUUUCUUCUACAGACGUUGAAGGGAUCUUAGACUCUGACAUGUUAGAUUUUACUAGUUUAAAAACAAUUGAUCAGAACCAUUUUAAUCUCAAAAAUUCUCUGGAUUUGUUGAUACCACCUUCUUUAAGACACAAUCAAAAAACUUAUGAAAAUUUCUGUAACUUUCCUAAUGAAAUAACAGUAAAUGAAAACAAUGAUAAUCUAAAAGAAAGUAUUUUAAAUGAAAAUGAUUUUUUAUUUAUUUCUGAACCAGUUAAAACAUCUGUAGAUAGUUCUUCAACAAUAGAAAUUAGUGAUCAAGCAGUUAAUGAGAAUACAUCUAAUAAUGAAAACUCCCCCAUGGAGGAGGAUCCUGAUGAAAAAGAUAUGAGUAUAGACGAAGGAUCAGAUGAUGAUGAAGUUCUGUUAAAUAAAGUGCCAACAUAUUUAAGUGGGCUAUCAACAGAAGCAAUUAACAACAAAUCUAAGAUUAGUUAUCAAUCUUAUAUUGAUAAUGGGAUUGAUACAUCUGACUUUAUCAAAGAUCCUUCUCCUGAACAUGUGACUGAGCUAUGUAAGAUCCCAGCAUACCAUCAAUCUUUCAGCAAUAGUACAAAGUAUGAUAUAAAUUCCUCUUCUCUGGUUCGUAAAUAUCCUUGGAGUGAAAGAAGAAAAAGUGCGAUACGUCAUCAUCAGCAGUUUGACUCCGAUUGUGAAACUUCAAAAAGUUGUCUUUCAUCGUCCAGUUCACCAUCACCUUCUGAUUCUCCAACUGAAGAAUUUCCAAGCUGGUCACAGUCAAGUUCAAGGUCAACGUCUCCCAGUAGUGAUUCUAGAAGUGGUCAGUUUUCCCCAUACAGUGAUUACACAUCAUCACGGGAUCGAUCCCCAUCACCAUUCUCGCAGCAUCGAAGUACAUAUUCAUUACAGAAAGUUUCAAGACAAAAUCGAAAUUAUUCUCGUAUUCGUUCUCCUUACAGAUAUUCUAAUCAUCACAGAUCUAGACGGCGAAGCUCUCUGACAAAUAAGUACCAUGACAAAGACAUACAUCAGGGAUAAUUAUGGAUUUGUUACAUUUUAUCACCAAAGUGAUGCCUACCUUAGUAUGGAUGCAACUAGUAAAAUAAAAGAUUUUCCAUUUGAUGUUUGUUUUGGUGGAAGGAGAACAUUUUGUCAGGAGUCUUAUGCUGAUCUUG
Molecule: unclassified non-coding RNA, 3063 nt
Filed under: Octopus sinensis (East Asian common octopus)
Lineage: Eukaryota; Metazoa; Mollusca; Cephalopoda; Octopoda; Octopodidae
Description: uncharacterized LOC115228566, transcript variant X2
Source: RNAcentral